Molecule: ribosomal RNA, 229 nt
Filed under: uncultured bacterium
Lineage: Bacteria
Description: partial 16S ribosomal RNA
Rfam family: Bacterial small subunit ribosomal RNA
Source: RNAcentral
UGCGUAGGCGGUUUAAUAAGUCAGAGGUGAAAGCCCGCAGCUCAACUGUGGAAUGGCCUUUGAUACUGUUAGACUUGAAUCAGGUUGAGGUUGGCGGAAUGUGGCAUGUAGCGGUGAAAUGCAUAGAUAUACCAUAGAACACCAAUUGCGAAGGCAGCUGACUAGACCUGUAUUGACGCUGAGGCACGAAAGCGUGGGGAGCGAACAGGAUUAGAUACCCUGGUAGUCC